Molecule: ribosomal RNA, 305 nt
Filed under: uncultured bacterium
Lineage: Bacteria
Description: bacterial SSU rRNA
Rfam family: Bacterial small subunit ribosomal RNA
Source: RNAcentral
AAGCCUACGGGACGCAGCAGUGGGGAAUAUUGCACAAUGGGCGAAAGCCUGAUGCAGCAACGCCGCGUGAAGGAAGACGGUUUUCGGAUUGUAAACUUCUGUUCUUAGUGAAGAAAAAUGACGGUACCUGACUAAGAAGCCCCGGCUAACUACGUGCCAGCAGCCGCGGUAAUACGUAGGGGGCAAGCGUUAUCCGGAUUUACUGGGUGUAAAGGGAGCGUAGACGGCGAUGCAAGUCUGAAGUGAAAGGCGGGGGCCCAACCCCCGGACUGCUUUGGAAACUGUAUGGCUGGAGUGCAGGAGAG